UCUCCGGUGGUCCAGUGGUUAGGACUCUGUGCUUCCACUGCAGGGGCCAUAGGUUUGAUUCCUGGUCAGGGAG
Molecule: transfer RNA, 73 nt
Filed under: Ovis aries (sheep)
Lineage: Eukaryota; Metazoa; Chordata; Mammalia; Artiodactyla; Bovidae
Rfam family: tRNA
About the family: Transfer RNA (tRNA) molecules are approximately 80 nucleotides in length.
Source: Rfam by way of RNAcentral